AAUUGUUUCAUAUAUUGAAACUUGUUGAUAAUAUAUAAUUUCAAGGCGGCAUAUAUUAGGUUGGAAACUAUGAAACGGGCGUUUUAUGUUUAGUCUGUGUUCAGCUGCGACUGAAAGAGAUACAUUGUAACAUGCGCUCGAUAUUUUAAUUUAUAAAACUUAAAGAUGGAAACAAAACGCGAUUUAUAUCUACUCUUCUUAUACGAGUUUAAAUUAUAUCAUACUGCAGCUCAAGCUUCAAGAAAUAUUAAUCAGGCAUUCGGAGAUGGAUCCACCAAUGAAAAAAAUGCUCGAUAUUGGUUCCAAAAAUUUCGUUCUGACAAUUUGAGUAUCGUUAAUGAGUCUCGAGGAAGACCAUCAGCCCAGAUUGAUAACGAGGAAUUAAGGACGACUGUGGAAUCCGAUCCACACAAUUAGUCGAACACUUGGGUUUAAACUAGGAACUAGUCAUACAGCUGUGUUAAAACAUUUGCGUGCAAUAAAUAAAGUCAAGAAAUUGGACUCAUAUGUGCCGCACGAAUUGACACAACUGCAGAUGAUUGACCGCAAAAGCAAGUGCGCAUCUUUGUUGCUUCGCAAUACACAAUUGCCAUUUUUACACCAAAUCAUCACUUGUGAUGAAAAGUGGAUUUUGUAUGAUAAUCGAAAACGAUCAUGCCAAUGGGUAGAUAAGAAUACACCCCCAGGACACACUCCAAAACCGAAAUUUCAUCAAAAAACAAUUAUGAUCACCAUAUGGUGGAAUGCCCAAGGAGUGAUCCAUUAUUCCUUUCUACAACCAGGCGAAACUAUAACAGAGAUGUCUUAUUGUCGUGAAAUUGAUGUCAUGCAUGAGAAACUUAUGAAAAAACAACCAAUAUUGCUCAAUCGGCACGGCGCAAUAUUACUGUAUGAUAACGCAUGACCACAUAAAGCUUCAAUUACUGUUGACAAAUUAAUUUCUCUACAAUAUGAAAUUUUACCACAUCCUCCAUAUUCACUUGAUAUUUCACCGACCGAUUAUUAUCUUUUUCGUAAUUAUGAAUUAUUUUUAAAAGAAAAAAAUACAAUAACCAAAAUGAUAUUAUAAAAGACUUUGAAUUAUUUAUUAACUCUAAAAAUAAAGAUUUUUUUCAAAAAGGCAUAUAUGAUUUGUCCAAUCGUUGGCAAAACUCGUAGAUGCCAAUGGAAAUUAUUUCAAUUGAAUAUAAUAAAUAAUGUGAAAAAUUG
This is a long non-coding RNA of Vespa crabro (European hornet), 1209 nucleotides long. RefSeq lists it as uncharacterized. NCBI's taxonomy places the organism in Eukaryota, Metazoa, Arthropoda, Insecta, Hymenoptera, Vespidae. The record is from RefSeq and is a predicted model, not a curated record. The transcript has 2 exons.